UGAGGAAUAUUGCGCAAUGGGGGCAACCCUGACGCAGCGACGCCGCGUGGGUGAGGAAGGCUUUCGGGUCGUAAAACCCUGUCAGAAGGGAAGAAGUGCUUAUGGGUUAAUAUCUUGUAAGCUUGACGGUACCUUCAAAGGAAGCACCGGCUAACUCCGUGCCAGCAGCCGCGGUAAUACGGAGGGUGCAAGCGUUGUUCGGAAUCACUGGGCGUAAAGGGCGCGUAGGCGGCUUGGCAAGUCAGAUGUGAAAGCCCACGGCUUAACCGUGGAAGUGCAUUUGAAACUGCUUGGCUUGAGUAUCAGAGGGGAAAGUGGAAUUCCCGGUGUAGAGGUGAAAUUCGUAGAUAUCGGGAGGAAUACCGGUGGCGAAGGCGACUUUCUGGCUGAAUACUGACGCUGAGGCGCGAAAGCGUGGGGAGCAAACAGGAUUAGAUACCCUGGUAGUCCACGCCGUAAACGAUGUCAACUAGGUGCAGGGGGUGUUGAUCCCCUCUGUGUCGCAGCUAACGCAUUAAGUUGACCGCCUGGGGAGUACGGUCGCAAGAUUAAAACUCAAAGGAAUUGACGGAA
Molecule: ribosomal RNA, 573 nt
Filed under: uncultured bacterium
Lineage: Bacteria
Description: bacterial SSU rRNA
Rfam family: Bacterial small subunit ribosomal RNA
Source: RNAcentral